UCCCUGGCGGUUCAGUGGCUAAGACUCUGCAUUCCCAAUGCAAGGAGUCCAGGUUCAAUUCCUGGUCAGGGAA
RNAcentral lists this transfer RNA (73 nucleotides) under Ovis aries (sheep). It matches the Rfam family "tRNA". Rfam says of the family: Transfer RNA (tRNA) molecules are approximately 80 nucleotides in length. Their secondary structure includes four short double-helical elements and three loops (D, anti-codon, and T loops). Further hydrogen bonds mediate the characteristic L-shaped molecular structure. tRNAs have two regions of fundamental functional importance: the anti-codon, which is responsible for specific mRNA codon recognition, and the 3' end, to which the tRNAs corresponding amino acid is attached (by aminoacyl-tRNA synthetases). tRNAs cope with the degeneracy of the genetic code in two manners: having more than one tRNA (with a specific anti-codon) for a particular amino acid; and 'wobble' base-pairing, i.e. permitting non-standard base-pairing at the 3rd anti-codon position. The record is from Rfam by way of RNAcentral. Lineage: Eukaryota; Metazoa; Chordata; Mammalia; Artiodactyla; Bovidae.